RNAcentral lists this ribosomal RNA (405 nucleotides) under uncultured bacterium. RNAcentral's name for it is "partial 16S ribosomal RNA". It matches the Rfam family "Bacterial small subunit ribosomal RNA", at positions 30 to 526 of the family's 1533-position model. The record is from RNAcentral.
AUUGAACGCUGGCGGCAGGCUUAACACAUGCAAGUCGAACGAGUGGCGGACGGGUGAGUAAUGCAUUGGAACCUGGCUAAUGGAGGGGGAUAACUACGGGAAACCUUGGCUAAUACCGCUUACUAUAGGAUCGGCCGACGUUGGAUUAGGUAGUUGGUGAGGUAAAGGCUCACCAAGCCGACGAUCUCUAGCUGGUCUGAGAGGGUGACCAGCCACACUGGGACUGAGACACGGCCCAGACUCCUACGGGAGGCAGCAGUGGGGAAUAUUGCGCAAUGGGGGAAACCUGACGCAGCCAUGCCGCGUGAAUGAAGAAGGCCUUCGGGUUGUAAAGUUCUUUUGGUAGAGAAGCGGUAACUAAAGAAGAAGCACCGGCUAACUACGUGCCAGCAGCCGCGGUAAUAC